This 395-nucleotide unclassified non-coding RNA is filed under the name soil metagenome. RNAcentral describes it as "partial contains 5.8S ribosomal RNA, internal transcribed spacer 2, and large subunit ribosomal RNA". The stretch from base 1 to 122 matches the Rfam family "5.8S ribosomal RNA", at positions 35 to 154 of the family's 154-position model. The record is from RNAcentral.
GAUGAAGAACGUAGCGAAAUGCGAUACUUGGUGUGAAAUGCAGAAUCCCGUGAACCAUCGAGUCUUUGAACGCAAGUUGCGCCCGAAGCCAUCAGGUUGAGGGCACGUCUGCCUGGGCGUCACAUAUCGUUGCCCAAUGCCUAUUGCAGUGCAAUAGGAAUUUCUAGGGCGAAUGAUGGCUUCCCGUGAGCGUUGUUGCCUCGCGGUUGGUUGAAAAUCGAGUCCUUGGUAGGGUGUGCCAUGGUAGAUGGUGGUCGAGUUAGAACGAUACCGAUCAUGUGCAUGCUCCCCAAAAUAUGGCCUCUAUGACCCACACGCGUCUUUUGACGCUCAUGACGAGACCUCAGGUCAGGCGGGGCUACCCGCUGAAUUUAAGCAUAUCAAUAAGCGGAGGA